RNAcentral lists this ribosomal RNA (480 nucleotides) under uncultured Actinomycetales bacterium. RNAcentral describes it as "bacterial SSU rRNA". It matches the Rfam family "Bacterial small subunit ribosomal RNA", at positions 28 to 523 of the family's 1533-position model. The record is from RNAcentral. Lineage: Bacteria; Bacillati; Actinomycetota; Actinomycetes; Actinomycetales.
GACGAACGCUGGCGGCGUGCUUAACACAUGCAAGUCGAACGGAAAGGCCCUGCUUGCAGGGUACUCGAGUGGCGAACGGGUGAGUAACACGUGGGUGAUCUGCCCUGCACUUCGGGAUAAGCCUGGGAAACUGGGUCUAAUACCGGAUAGGAGCCAUUUUUAGUGUGAUGGUUGGAAAGUUUUUCGGUGUAGGAUGAGCUCGCGGCCUAUCAGCUUGUUGGUGGGGUAAUGGCCUACCAAGGCGGCGACGGGUAGCCGGCCUGAGAGGGUGGACGGCCACAUUGGGACUGAGAUACGGCCCAGACUCCUACGGGAGGCGGCAGUGGGGAAUAUUGCACAAUGGGCGCAAGCCUGAUGCAGCGACGCCGCGUGGGGGAUGACGGCCUUCGGGUUGUAAACUCCUUUCGCUAGGGACGAAGCUUUUUGUGACGGUACCUAGAUUAGAAGCACCGGCUAACUACGUGCCAGCCGCCGCGGUAA